GGCACAGGCAAAUAUCGGUUGGAUAAGGAACAUUUUGUUCUCUAUCCAGACUUUGAGGACAAUCAAGUUGUCAUGAAUGAGAAUGAACCAUCAUCAGUGCAAGCUCAAGAGAAGAAGGAGAAAGCAAAGAAGGAGAAGGCUACCAAGAUGCCAACUCUAGAGGAGGCAUCUGAGUACUUUUUGAAGAGCAAGCAGGACCAGCUUGGUUACUUGAUAGCAUCAACUCUGAGGAUUGAGAAGGGGUUGGCCACCCUAACUCAAAACCAGGAGAGCCUGGAAAGAAUCAUGGAACAAAAAUUCUAUGAUUUAGAUGUCAAACUAACUGAGCUUCAGUCAGUUGUGGAGCAGCUACAGGAUGACAUGCAGGAGAGGAAGGGCAGGACAACUACUGAUGCAUUUGCCAGAGUGCCUCGAGCUCAGAGAUCAGCUGCAAAGCCAGUGACAGACACC
This 450-nucleotide ribosomal RNA is filed under the name Triticum aestivum (bread wheat). RNAcentral describes it as "partial small subunit ribosomal RNA". The record is from RNAcentral. Lineage: Eukaryota; Viridiplantae; Streptophyta; Magnoliopsida; Poales; Poaceae.